CUUGCAAUGAACCAAAUAUAAUGCUCAAAGAAUCUCAUAAUAUCAAGAAUCCUAUAACAGCAACCAUGUUAGGAGCCAUGCUUGCAUUGUCACUAAAGGGCUGAGAAUGGGCUGGGACAGCCCAACACUGGACUAAGCCUACUAAAAUUGUAGGCCCGAGAAGCCGACUUCCAAUCAUGAGUGCUUCCACACAGAUGUUGCAUCAAACAUAGAUGAGUUGCAAAGAAUGGGAUGAGAUCACGCACUUAUUCUGCGGAAUUUCUUAUCUCUGAUCUCCUUAUGUAUUGCUUAAGAUCAUUAGGUGUUGGGUGAAGCACAAGGAUUAAUUAGAAACAUCUGAUGACAUGGAUUAUUGCGAAAUGGAUAUGAACUGGGCUAAGUUGAAGGAAUGUUAUGGGUCGGGGGGUGAUGCCAUGGCAUGUUGAGAAUAUGUCGACGGAAUCUUGGGAAAGAACUUUUUCUGUUUGUAUGUUAAGCUGUUGCUCAUUAUGUUGCGUUGCUACGAUGACAGGAUCCGGCUUUAGGAUUGCUGAUAUGCAGUUAUCUUCAAAAUAACCGUGGAGAGCCCUUCAUGUUUCACACGUUUCAUCUCAUCUUUCAUUAGGUCCAAAGGAGACAACCUCCAC
Molecule: long non-coding RNA, 626 nt
Filed under: Elaeis guineensis (African oil palm)
Lineage: Eukaryota; Viridiplantae; Streptophyta; Magnoliopsida; Arecales; Arecaceae
Description: long non-coding RNA (EGUI_LNC006871)
Source: RNAcentral